UACGGAGGGUGCGAGCGUUGUCCGGAAUCACUGGGCGUAAAGGGCGCGUAGGUGGCCUGUGGAAGUCUGCGGUGAAAGCCCGGCGCUCAACGCCGGGUCGGCCGUGGAUACUCUCGGGCUUGAGCUUACUAGAGGCAGAUGGAAUUCCGGGUGUAGCGGUGGAAUGCGUAGAGAUCCGGAAGAACACCGGUGGCGAAGGCGGUCUGCUGGGGUAAUGCUGACACUGGAGGCGCGACAGCGUGGGGAGCAAACAGG
Molecule: ribosomal RNA, 255 nt
Filed under: uncultured bacterium
Lineage: Bacteria
Description: partial 16S ribosomal RNA
Rfam family: Bacterial small subunit ribosomal RNA
Source: RNAcentral